CCCAAGUGUGUGGCUGACUCAGUAAUUGCCCAGCAUCAUCUUUAUUGAAAUUAUCCAGCAAUCUAGAAAUUACAAGUGAAAUAACCCAUGAAGUCAUCCUGACCCAGCUAUUCUGAGCCAAGGUAAAAAAGCUGAGACUCAGAGGUUUCAACUACACAGUGAGGAGACAGCAGCAUCGAGUUUGUCUGACUCGGAAGGCCUUUCCACCACACAGAUGGUGUCAAUGGAUCCGCUUGAAUCAUGCAUUUUCUUCUAAGCUUUUUCUAGCCACAAAAUGCAUGUAAGCAGAGGAAAUGGACUUCCUGUCCUUGAAAAGCUUAUCGUAUUAGUGGAAGACAGGAUUCACACAAAUGGGGCAGUUUGAAAAUGCUCCAUAGGUAUGUUGAAUCCGGUGCUAAACUCAGCACUACAAACCCUACAUGUUGGCAGAGCUUCGAGAAAGGGAAGAAUAUGAGAAAGAAGUCAUCGAGCAAUGGGCUUUUGGUGGGGAGGAGUGCUCUGAAGAGAGAGGUAAGGGAUGGUGUUGGAGAGGAGGUCAAGGGAGGAAGAGAAGGUAGACAGAGAGAAGGCCAGCCGGUGGAAGAGAAAACCAAUCUAACCCAAGGAGAGUGGUCUAGGAAGUAGUCGAUAAUAGUGAUAGCGUGGUAGCGGAUCGUGAGGCGGUUGAGGAGGAAUGAGGAAGUCUUGAGAGCUAUGAAGAGGAAUCUAUACUCUGUGGAAACAAAGGACCUCAUCAUGGUAGUUGUGGAGGGCACCGACAAAUGAAAGAAGAGUGUUGGGAAGGGGGAGACAUCAGGAAGAAAGGAAAGGACUCAAGAGAAGAGAGCUGUUAAAACAAGCUUGUGCAAAAUACCAAGGCUGAGGUGAGAGAGAGAGCGAGCUGGAACCACCCUUCCAAAGAAGGACUGGCCAGACAUGGAACAUGAGAAGCACCCGCCCAGGCCUUACCAGCUUCAGGGAGAAGGGGGAGCUUACUAGCCUCCUCCUCUUGUGGGAUGUUGACCUGAACACCAUGCACAUCUGGGCUGAGACAGAGCCUGGCACCAAAGACCAGAGGAGAUUGGAAUCUAGUCGGUUGGAUGGCAUAAACAGCCCGGCCAAGAAACUCAGCUCAGUUUUGAAAGCAUCUGAAUCAUUGGACUCAAGGAACGUGACCAGUGCUCUAAAUCUUCUGUCAGAAUUAGCCAUCUGUACUCCCCCUUGCUCCUUUUCCAAACAGAUGCUGCCAUUUUCCUUUCUUCCUUAUUUCCGACUGAAGUAUAAUGUACAGUGUUACAUUAGUUUCAGACGUACAGCAUAGUGAUUGACAAGUCCAUACGCUAUGCUGUGCUCACGACAAGAACAGCUACCGCCUAUCACCCUACAACACUAUUACAAUACCAUUGACCGUAUUCCUAUGCUCUACCUUUCACCCCUGUGACUUACUAUUUGCCUUUCUUAUUUUGCGUGCAGGAUGGAUGGUGGAACAGCUUCCUGUCUCCACAGGAAGGGAAUAAAGAGCUCCUAAGCAGACUGCGAAC
This is a long non-coding RNA of Nyctereutes procyonoides (raccoon dog), 1520 nucleotides long. RefSeq lists it as uncharacterized. Lineage: Eukaryota; Metazoa; Chordata; Mammalia; Carnivora; Canidae. The transcript is spliced from 3 exons. The record is from RefSeq and is a predicted model, not a curated record.